AGAAAGAGAAUCGAUUCCGUAAGUAGCGGCGAGCGAAAGCGGAUCAGCCCAAACCAGAGUGAUUUAUCACGCUGGGGUUGUAGGACUAUAAUGUGAGAAGCAACGGAUAGACGAAUACCUUGGAAAGGGUAACCAUAGAGGGUGACAGUCCCGUAGUUGAAAUCCCGCGCCGAUCUAAUAGUAUCCUGAGUAGCACCGGACACGUGAAACCCGGUGUGAAUCUGCGCCGACCACGGCGUAAGGCUAAAUACAAGAUGACGACCGACAGUGAACUAGUACCGCGAGGGAAAGGUGAAAAGCACCCCUGUUAGGGGAGUGAAAUAGUAACUGAAACCGAUGGCUAACAAAUCAGUAGGAGCCGCCUUGUGCGGUGACUGCCUGCCUUUUGUAUAAUGAGUCUGCGAGUUUAUGUCCGUAGCAAGCCUAAGCUGCUAAGCAGUGGAGGCGUAGCGAAAGCGAGUCUGAAUAGGGCGAUUGAGUUGCUGGCAUAAGACCCGAAGGGGAGGUGAUCUUACCAUGACCAGGUUGAAGCGUUAGUAAAAUAACGUGGAGGACCGAACCGGUGUAGCUUGAGAACUGCUCGGAUGAGUUGUGGUAAGGAGUGAAAGGCUAAUCAAACCCCCUGAUAGCUGGUUCUUUCCGAAAUAUAUUGAGGUAUAGCGUCGAGCGCUGACCUGUGGAGGUAGAGCACUGAAUAAGCUAGGGCCCCUACCGGGGUACUGAACUUUAUCAAACUCCGAAUGCCACAGGGUGAAGCUCGGCAGUCAGACUUAGGGUGCUAACGUCCUAAGUCGAGAGGGCAACAACCCAGACCAUCAGUUAAGGUCCCUAAAUGUGGCUCAGUGGUAAAGGAUGUGAUUUUACUUAGACAAUGGGGAUGUUGGCUUAGAGGCAGCCAUCAUUUAAACAGUGCGUAACAGCUGACCCAUCGAGUGAAAUUGCGCCGAAAAUGAUCGGGACUUAAGCCACAUACCGAAGCUAUGGAUUUCAGUUCCUCGGAACUGGAGUAGUAGGAAAGCGUUCCAAGUGCAGUGAAGGAGAAGGGGCAACCGACUCUGGAGCGCUUGGAAGUGAGAAUGCAGACAUGAGUAACGAUAAAGAUGGUUAAAGUCCAUCUCGCCGUAAGGAUAAGGUUUCCUGGGGAAGGCUCGUCCUCCCAGGGUUAGUCGGGAGCUAAGAUGAGGCCGUAAGGAGUAAUCGAUGCACAGAAGGUUAAUAUUCCUUCACCGGCUUGCAACUAUUCCCAGAGUGCGGAUCGACGGACCCUACAGACCUGUUUUGACAAGGCACUGCAAAGCUACGGCUGCGUGGGUGUAGGGAAAGAAGGUUCCAAGAAAAGCUCUGGAAUUACUAUGCAGGUCGCUCGUACCGCAAACCGACACAGGUAUCCGGGAUGAGUAUUCUAAGGCGCGCGAGUUAAAUCUCUCUAAGGAACUCGGCAAAUUGGCCCCGUAUCUUCGGUAUAAGGGGUGCCCCUCUAGGGGGGUCGCAGUUAAUAGCGUCAACCGACUGUUUAGCAAAAACACAGCUCUCUGCAAAGUCGCAAGACGACGUAUAGGGAGUGACACGUGACCAAUGCGAAAAGGUGAACGCCUGGGGUGCAAGCUCCGGGUCUAAGCCCUCGUGAAUGUCGGCCGUAACUAUAACGGUCCUAAGGUAGCGAAAUUCCUUGUCGGG
Molecule: ribosomal RNA, 1677 nt
Filed under: seawater metagenome
Description: bacterial LSU rRNA
Rfam family: Bacterial large subunit ribosomal RNA
Source: RNAcentral